Molecule: long non-coding RNA, 2096 nt
Organism: Trematomus bernacchii (emerald rockcod)
Lineage: Eukaryota; Metazoa; Chordata; Actinopteri; Perciformes; Nototheniidae
Exons: 3
Source: RefSeq, a predicted model, not a curated record
CUUACAUAUUUACAUUUAUACAUACAUUUACAAUCAUUUCUCAUCUUCAAUCACCUUAAAUCAUUCUCAUAGUUUUCCAAGAAAGUGUUUCUGUACAUCCUUUUAAAGUGAAUUAUAUUUGUGCUUUGUUUGAACUCCUGCUCCAAACCGUUCCAUCAAAUCACCCCACAGAUUGUUCUACUCAUACUUCUCACAGUUGUUCUGACCUUGAGUUGUUUCAAAUGUAGAUUUCCUCUCAAAUUAUACCCGCCCUCUCUGUCUAUGAACAAUGUUUGUAAUUUCCUAGGAAGUAGAUUAUGUCUUGCUCUGUACAUGAUUUGUGCCGUUUUAAAUGUAACCAGAUCAGUAAACUUCAGUGUGUGUGACUUCAAGAAUAAUGAAUGAGUGUGUUCAAGAUAUCCAACAUUAUUGAUUAUUCUUAUAGCCCUUUUUUGUAAUGUGCAUAACGGCUGUAGGUUGGUUUUGUAAGUGUUUCCCCAAAUCUCCACACAGUAACUCAGACAUGGCAAUAUGAGUGUAUUAUACAGAGCAUAAUGAGUUGUAGUCCAGAAUGUGUCUUGCUUUCCCCAAUAUUGAGAUAGUCUUAGCCAGUUUAGCUUUUACAUGAUUGAUAUGAGGUUUCCAGCUGAUCUUGUGCUCUCAAACCACACCAAGGAACUUCAUUUCAUAUACUCUUUCUAUGUUUAUGUUAUCUAGUAUUAAUUGCACCUGAGGAUUUGUUUUAUGUUUUCCAAAUAGCAUAAUAUUUGUUUUGCUUAAAUUUAAUGUUAAUUUGUUCUUAAAUCUUUUUUUUUUUUCUUGUGUAUUUCAUAAACAGGAUAUUUGAUUUUUUUAUAAUAAAUAUUAUUUUCUCAGCUCUGUGAUAAAAAAACAGAUUUUAAAAAUAAAUAUCCCACUUCUUGUACUUAUAUCCUGAUUGAUGAGUCAGCAGUAAAGCAGCCAGGCGUUAACGGUCAGCUGGCAUGUGUAUCUGUUCAUUGGCUCAUAUGUGUAGCAUGUUUAAUGGCAGUGUGUUGAAAAUGGCUGACAGGUGAAUAUGUCAGAUCUCUGUGUGUUACUCAGAGAACCGUGUGCAGUGUUUUAGAAAGUGCAGAGUUGAAUUGCAGAUUGUGUGCAGAGCUGAAAAUGUGUUUAGAGUUCUGUUUGAUUUGAUCCAGCCAGUUCUGCCACAGCAAAGCAUAAGGGCUCAGAGCUUGGACCUAUUGUGUUCACAUUAUAUACGCUUCCUUUAGGCAAUAAGGAAUCACUCGGGACAUUUUCAUUGUUAUGCGGAUGAUACUCAAUUAUACACAAUAUAGACAAAAGUAUUGGACCACCUACACAUUAGAGAGAUACCGCAGGUCCUUCCUUCCUGCAGCGGUCAGACUAUAUAACCACCACGACCCCUAGUAGACCCCCCACACAACAACACAGACUAUAACACCUAUUAUCAUUUCUUUUUUUAAUCUUUAAUACUUUGUUGUAUGCAUGCUUUAGGUAACAUGAAGCUGUCUCUGGCUCUUUCUGCUGUAACAAUGUACAUGUAUCCUCUGUGGGACUAAUAAAGGGAUUCUGAUUCUGAUUAAAUAAACUCAACAUGUACACGUAUACUGGUUGUUUUUUCAGUUUAGUUUUUAUAGCGCAUGGUGGAAAGGAGCAGGGAGAAGUACAUCUCAUUUUACCUGCCCCUUCUUAAAAAAGAAAAAAAUUAAAUAACCAUAAAAAAGUAAAAUAAAAGCAUUAUUAUGUCACAGUUACAAAUACUGAAACAUAAAACCAUCACAAGUCCACUUCAUACUGUCUAGUUACGCUUUCUUUAUACAUUUUCUUAAUUGUCAUGCUGGAUUUUCUUGUUCUCCCGUGCAGGUGAGGGCGGCCUGCAAAGCCUUCUGGGUAAUAUGAGCCACAACCAGCUGAUGCAGCUCAUCGGACCGACUGGACUGGGCGGGAUCGGGGGCCUCGGGGCCCUCGCUGGCCCAGGAUUGGCUAACCUGCUGGGCAGCAGCAGCUCCAGCAGUGUCCCUGCAGCCAGCAACUCCUCCACCAGCCCGUCCACAGCCGUCACCCCCACCUCCUCCUCAGCCUCCAGCCGCCUCGGCUCCGCCCAGGUUCCCACC